GUUGGGCCUGCUCGGUGAGAAGAAAAAUUUAACAGCUGCGGUAUUAUAACUGUACUAAGGUAGCAUAAUAAUUUGCCUUAUAAAUUAAGGCUAGAAUGAAUGGUUUGACGAAAAUUAGACUGUCUUUAUUUUAUUUGUUAGAAAUUAAUUUUUAUAGUGAAAAAGCUUAAAUAAUUUAAGGGGACGAGAAGACCCUAUUGAGCUUUAUUUAUUAAUAUUUAAAUAUAAAUAUAUAAUUUAUAUUAUGAAAAUUAUGUUGUGUAUAUAUAUAUUUAAUUGGAUUUAAUUUUGAUUGGGGUGAUCAAGGAAUAAAGAUAAAGUAACUUCCUUAAAAUUAAUGAUUGUUUUUAUGGAGUAAUAAACCAAGUUUUUUGCUUAUAAGAUAAGUUACCAUAGGGGUAACAGCGUAAUUUUUUUUGAGAGUUCAUAUUGAAAAAAGAGAUUGCGACCUCGAUGUUGGAUUAAAAAUUACCUUAAGG
This 479-nucleotide ribosomal RNA is filed under the name Callistoctopus minor (long arm octopus). Its description in RNAcentral is "partial 16S ribosomal RNA". It matches the Rfam family "Bacterial large subunit ribosomal RNA", at positions 1852 to 2552 of the family's 2925-position model. The record is from RNAcentral. Lineage: Eukaryota; Metazoa; Mollusca; Cephalopoda; Octopoda; Octopodidae.